Non-coding RNA from Arachis ipaensis, 107 nucleotides. NCBI's taxonomy places the organism in Eukaryota, Viridiplantae, Streptophyta, Magnoliopsida, Fabales, Fabaceae. The record is from RefSeq and is a predicted model, not a curated record.
CUCUCCUAAAAAACUGUGCAGGAACUCCUUCUUUCAUCUCUCCAACGGUAAGUUCCUACUCCUGUCAGAAAUAGGGGUCUCAACUUCUUGCCCAUUGGAGUUGCUCU